UCAUGCCUACGGGGGGCAGCAGUGAGGAAUAUUGGUCAAUGGCCGAGAGGCUGAACCAGCCAAGUCGCGUGAGGGAUGACGGCCCUACGGGUUGUAAACCUCUUUUGUCGGGGAGCAAAGAGAGUCACGUGUGGCUCAUUGAGAGUACCCGAAGAAAAAGCAUCGGCUAACUCCGUGCCAGCAGCCGCGGUAAUACGGAGGAUGCGAGCGUUAUCCGGAUUUAUUGGGUUUAAAGGGUGCGCAGGCGGAGGGGCAAGUCAGUGGUCAAAUUGCGGGGCUCAACCCCGUACUGCCGUUGAAACUGC
This 305-nucleotide ribosomal RNA is filed under the name uncultured bacterium. RNAcentral's name for it is "bacterial SSU rRNA". It matches the Rfam family "Bacterial small subunit ribosomal RNA", at positions 333 to 636 of the family's 1533-position model. The record is from RNAcentral.